GACGAACGCUGGCGGCGUGCUUAACACAUGCAAGUCGAACGGUGAAGCGCCUUCCUUUUUGGUGGGUGUGGAUGAGUGGCGAACGGGUGAGUAACACGUGAGUAACCUGCCCCCUUCUUCUGGAUAACCGCAUGAAAGUGUGGCUAAUACGGGAUAUUCUGGGUCUGUCGCAUGAUGGGUCUGGGAAAGAUAUUGUUUCGGUGGGGGAUGGGCUCGCGGCCUAUCAGCUUGUUGGUGGGGUGAUGGCCUACCAAGGCGGUGACGGGUAGCCGGCCUGAGAGGGUGGACGGUCACGCUGGGACUGAGACACGGCCCCGACUCCUACGGGAGGCAGCAGUGGGGAAUAUUGCACAAUGGGCGCAAGCCUGAUGCAGCGCCGCCGCGUGAGGGAUGGAGGCCUUCGGGUUGUGAACCUCUUUCGCCAGUGAAGCAGGCCUGCCUCGUUUGUGGGUGGGUUGACGGUAGCUGGAUAAGAAGCGCCGGCUAACUACGUG
RNAcentral lists this ribosomal RNA (494 nucleotides) under uncultured bacterium. Its description in RNAcentral is "partial 16S ribosomal RNA". It matches the Rfam family "Bacterial small subunit ribosomal RNA", at positions 28 to 507 of the family's 1533-position model. The record is from RNAcentral.